Molecule: unclassified non-coding RNA, 287 nt
Filed under: fungal sp.
Lineage: Eukaryota; Fungi
Description: partial internal transcribed spacer region
Source: RNAcentral
AAGUCGUAACAAGGUUUCCAUAGGUGAACCUGCGAACGGAUCAUUAACACGUAUCCAAACGUUAAAACAACCCUGUGCCUUCAGCGUGUUCUUGCAGGACAUCAAAACAGAUUUUGAUUUUGGGAAGUUCUGUGUGUACGUGGACGCUGCAAUUGAGCGCUAGAUAAAGCACCCUGGUACCCUAGAGCAAUCCCCGGGAUCAAUGUUCAGGGUGGUAUGUACCCUCCGGGACUUGGCGAAAGGUGACUCCGUCAUAAAUGGAAUUAACAAGGGAUGUCUUGGGUCUC